GCGCCCGUAGCUCAGUUGGAUAGAGCGCACGCCUCCUAAGCGUGAGGCCACCGGUUCAAAUCCGUUCGGGCGCGCCA
This 77-nucleotide transfer RNA is filed under the name Lentisphaerota bacterium. RNAcentral describes it as "Lentisphaerae bacterium (anaerobic digester metagenome) tRNA-Arg". It matches the Rfam family "tRNA". From Rfam's summary of the family: Transfer RNA (tRNA) molecules are approximately 80 nucleotides in length. Their secondary structure includes four short double-helical elements and three loops (D, anti-codon, and T loops). Lineage: Bacteria; Pseudomonadati; Lentisphaerota. The record is from RNAcentral.